RNAcentral lists this ribosomal RNA (505 nucleotides) under uncultured Nocardiopsaceae bacterium. RNAcentral's name for it is "bacterial SSU rRNA". It matches the Rfam family "Bacterial small subunit ribosomal RNA", at positions 1 to 507 of the family's 1533-position model. Lineage: Bacteria; Bacillati; Actinomycetota; Actinomycetes; Streptosporangiales; Nocardiopsidaceae. The record is from RNAcentral.
GUCUAGAGUAGUUUCGAGUCCUGCGCACGGACGAACGCUGGCGGCGUAGCUAACACAUGCAAGUCGAGCGUAGGCCUUCGGGUACACGAGCGGCGAACGGUGAGUACACGUGAGCACCUGCCCCCGACUCUGGGAGUAAGCGGCGGAAACGCCGUCCGUAAUACCGGAUACGACCCGCCACCUCGAUGGUGUGCGAGUGGAAAGUCUUUUCGGUUGGGGAUGGGCUCGCGGCCUAUCGAGCUUGUUGUGGGGUAAAGGCCUACCAAGGCGAUUACGGGUAGCCGGCCUGAGAGGGCGACCGGCCACACUGGGACUGAGACACGGCCCAGACUCCUGCGGGAGGCAGCAGUGGGGAAUAUUGCACAAUGGGCGAAAGCCUGAUGCAGCGACGCCGCGUGGGGGAUGACGGCCUUCGGGUUGUAAACCUCUUUUACCACUAACGCGGAGGCUCCACGUUCUCGUGGGGUUGACGGUAGGUGGGGAAUAAGGACCGGCUAACUACGUG